RNAcentral lists this ribosomal RNA (392 nucleotides) under Tetraclitella purpurascens. RNAcentral's name for it is "partial 12S ribosomal RNA". It matches the Rfam family "Microsporidia small subunit ribosomal RNA", at positions 649 to 1215 of the family's 1311-position model. The record is from RNAcentral. Lineage: Eukaryota; Metazoa; Arthropoda; Thecostraca; Balanomorpha; Tetraclitidae.
UGUGGACCAGGAUUAGAUACCCUGUUACUUUUAAUUAAAAGAUUUUGGAAUAAUAGUGUUAAUGAAAUUUAACGGAUUUGGCGGCAAGAUAGCCCCUUAGAGGAACCUGCCCUAUAAACGAUGAACCACGAGUACUUUACUUUUUUUGGUAAUUCAGUUUGUAUAUCGCUGUUGUCAGUUAGAUUCUUGAGAAUAUUUUCAUAAAUGAUAAAAUCAUUGACUUCAAGUAAAGGUGCAGCUUAUAAGAAAGAUAGAGGUGGGUUACAAUUAUUUGAAUAAAACGGAUUAGAUAAUAGAAUUAGUCUAUGAAGGUGGAUUUAACUGUAAAGCCUAAGAAGGUUUGGUGAGAGCUCUAUCUUGUGUACACACCGCCCGUCGCUCUCUUUUUUAAA